Molecule: ribosomal RNA, 499 nt
Filed under: uncultured bacterium
Lineage: Bacteria
Description: partial 16S ribosomal RNA
Rfam family: Bacterial small subunit ribosomal RNA
Source: RNAcentral
GACGAACGCUGGCGGCGUGCUUAACACAUGCAAGUCGAACGGGCCCGCUCUCUUUUUUGGGGGUGGGUUGAGUGGCGAACGGGUGAGUAUCACGUGAGUAACCUGCCCCCUGCUCCUGGAUAACUGCUUGAAAGGGCGGCUAAUACGGGGUGUGCCGGCUGGUCCGCAUGGGCCUGGUCGGGAUAGUUUCAUCUUCGGGUGUUUCGGUGGGGGAUGGGCUCGCGGCCUAUCAGCUUGUUGGUGGGGUGAUGGCCCACCAAGGCGGUGACGGGUAGCCGGCCUGAGAGGGUGGGCGGCCACACUGGGACUGAGACACGGCCCAGACGCCUGCGGGAGGCAGCAGUGGGGGGUAUUGCACAAUGGGCGGAAGCCUGAUGCAGCGACGGCGCGUGAGGGAUGGAGGCCUUCGGGUUGUGAACCUCUUUCUCCGGUGGUGAAGGCCCUGUCCGUUGCGGCGGGGUUGACGGUAGCCGGGUAUGAAGCGCCGGCUAACUACGUG